UAUGAAAGCAUUUACUUUUCCUGCCAUUUAUUUCUUUAGCUUGAAAUAAUAAUGUAUAUUUCUUAUUUAAUAAGGUGUAAUCCUUCUGGAGCCACAAGAACUUUAAGCCAAGUCAAAAUGAAACACAAAAACAUUCUGCAAAAAGCUAACAGAAAGAAGACUGAAGCCCGUCUAACUGGCGGGGGGCCACCACCACCUCCCCUCACCCCAUCUGAGGAGCUGGCUCUGUCCCUUAAUAAAGGGCGACCAGUGGUUGCUGGCAUUCCAGGGGGCAGUUCAUCACACAUACUAUGCACCACAAGUGAUGGUGAAAAAAGGGUGAAAUAUACUGAUGGACGGAUUGUAUUAUUGGACUCUCCAGAAAGAACACAGUCUGUCACAGUUGAUGAAGAUGAUGAUGACGAUGAAGAGACCACAUCUGCUGUGACAGAAGUGGACAAUGCUGGUAGAUCCACUGAGUACAUACCUAGGGAUUUGCCCACAGAUGAGGGUCCUUCAGCCUCAGCACACAAUCUAAGCAGGUUGCCAGCAAAGGAGCUGUAUAAGGUCCAUCUUCAAAAACAAAUAAGAAAAAGUGACAUGGUGAUGGACCUUAUACAGCUUCAAAUGGAAGAGAAAAGGCUCCUCAUUAAAAAAGCAGCACUUGAAAUAGAAUUACUUGAGAAUCGCCUUAAGGAAAUGAAGAAAUAAACUGCCUGGCAGACCAGUGCAAAAAAAGCUAAUAAAAGUAAUUUUGACAAAUCCUGUC
Molecule: long non-coding RNA, 748 nt
Organism: Cyprinus carpio carpio
Lineage: Eukaryota; Metazoa; Chordata; Actinopteri; Cypriniformes; Cyprinidae
Source: Ensembl